RNAcentral lists this ribosomal RNA (292 nucleotides) under uncultured bacterium. RNAcentral describes it as "partial 16S ribosomal RNA". It matches the Rfam family "Bacterial small subunit ribosomal RNA", at positions 505 to 796 of the family's 1533-position model. The record is from RNAcentral.
GUGUCAGCAGCCGCGGUAAUACGUAGGGGGCAAGCGUUGCUCGGAAUUACUGGGCGUAAAGGGAGUGCAGGCGGCCGGUUAAGUCAAAGAUGAAAUCCCGAGGCUCAACUUCGGAACGGUCUUUGAUACUGAUCGGCUUGAGGCUGGUUGAGGCGAGCAGAAUUCCCGGUGGAGCGGUGAAAUGCGUAGAUAUCGGGAGGAAUACCAGAGGCGAAGGCGGCUCGCUAAACUAGUCCUGACGCUGAGACUCGAAAGCUAGGGGAGCAAACGGGAUUAGAAACCCGUGUAGUCC